UAAAAUAAUAUUAUUAAUUUAAAAUUCAAAACAGGUUUUACAUAUAAAAACGUUUUUAAUAUUUCAUAAACACAAAACAAUAUACUUAAAACUAACAUCUAAAAUCUUAAAAUUAGCAUUUAAAUCCUAAAUUUAACAUUAAAUUCUAAAACUAACAUCCAAAUCUGUAAAACUAAUAUCUAAAUCCAUAACAUUUGUUAAAAAAUUGUAAAAACUGAAUUUUUGAAAACAAAAUUGUAAAAAUGUUUUUUCAUAUGGUAAAAUACAAAAAAAAAACUUUUUUUAAAAUAACACAAUUAAUUUAAAAUAGAAAUCAGUUUUUCAUAAGAAAAAAAUUAAAAAAAAA
This 346-nucleotide long non-coding RNA is filed under the name Brassica napus (rape). Its description in RNAcentral is "long non-coding RNA (BNAP_LNC011542)". Lineage: Eukaryota; Viridiplantae; Streptophyta; Magnoliopsida; Brassicales; Brassicaceae. The record is from RNAcentral.